Molecule: long non-coding RNA, 1034 nt
Organism: Papaver somniferum (opium poppy)
Lineage: Eukaryota; Viridiplantae; Streptophyta; Magnoliopsida; Ranunculales; Papaveraceae
Exons: 2
Source: RefSeq, a predicted model, not a curated record
ACCAAUAGGCCCUAAUCUAGGGGGUUGGUUUAAUGGCUGGUUCUUUCAUUAAUCCCAGUUUAACCGGAGGUCCAAAAUAAGGUUUUGGGCCAAGUUUUUUUCUUCAGGAUCCAGAAACAUGGGAAAGAAAUAAAAAAUAUUAUUAAAAUUCCAAUAUCACCCUACAAUCAUUUUUUUCAGAUAUGAAAUUCUUCUUCUACUCUCUUUUUCUUCUGCUCGCAUAAAGCUCUUCGAUGGAGAUCGGAGAAAACCCCAUCAAAAAUAUUAUUAAAAUUCCAACAUUACCCUACAAUCAUUUUUUUCAGAUAUGAAAUUCUUCUUCUUCUUCUUUCUUUUUCUUCUGCUCGCAUAGCUCAAUGGAGGUUGAAGAAAAAGCCAUCAAAAAGUAUCGUCAUCGAGUAUUGUUGAAUCAUCAACAGAACUCAACAAAGAAGAUAUGUUUAAUCGUUUUUCAAAAAAUAAAUCUCCCAUCUAUGUUUUUUUCUGUCAAUUCUUUCUUGAACUAAAGCUCCGACGAUGAAGAUUUUUUUGUAACCUUUGAUUGUUUUGCGAAAUCAAGCUGGAUUACUUGUAUUUGUUCCUUCUUCAAUUGAGAAAAAGUUGAAAGAGAUCCACCUUUACAUUUACAAAGUUUGUAAGAAGUGCAGCUGAUAUGUACUCAAUUUGUGAACGGUGCAGAGGAUAUGUACUUGAAUUUGUAAAUAGUGUAGCCGAAAUGUAUUCGAUUUCUAAGCAGUGAAGCAAAUAUGUUUUUGGUAAGCAGUGCACAAGACCAAUUCAGGAUGGCCUUGAGUUACUAAUUACUAGUAGGCGACGAGCAGUGGAGGUCCAAGUAGAUAUGAAUAAUUAUAUCAUAUGUAUCUAAAACGAACGAUCAUUAUUGAAUUUAGUUCAUUGCAAUUUUUUUGUCUCAUUUUUGAUACAUGUUUCUGGUCUGUAAUAUAAAAAAAGUGCCAGUGUGCCAUUUGCAGAACAAAAAAUUAGUGUUGUGACUAUGUUUUACGGGCCUAAUAUAGCUUUAUUUCUUUCCUUUA